Molecule: long non-coding RNA, 6190 nt
Filed under: Trifolium pratense (red clover)
Lineage: Eukaryota; Viridiplantae; Streptophyta; Magnoliopsida; Fabales; Fabaceae
Description: long non-coding RNA (TPRA_LNC001532)
Source: RNAcentral
AAACAUCUUCUCUGCAAGGAAUUGUAAGGCCACCCAUUGGAUGAUCAUAUCCAAAUUCUUCCUCUGCUUGCCUCAACAAGUCUUGAAAUGAAGGUUGGUUCAAGUAUGACAAGGGGACAACAAACCGCUUCAUUUCCUCUCCAACGUACACUGCAAGAUAGCCCUUUGGGAUAUUUGAUACUUUAGAUGAUGUUUGGCUACUGCUUAAUGAUGCCCGUCUAAUAGCUGCAGGUAAACGGAAACCCAUUUCAAAUGUUUUGAAUUUGAAGAACAAGCUAUGUUUCUCGAUCGGAUGUAAGAAAAAGUUAUAUAAGUUUGAUUGCUUGAGUGAUUUGUGAUGGUUGUGAAGGAGGACACUAUAUUUAUAGAUUUCAAGAGUUUUUUGAAAUCCCUUUGCUAGAGAAAUAAUUGUUAAAAUGAUGGGGGCCAAGUGAUGAGAGAGGUCACAUGGUGUUGUCUUAGAUUCCUUUGUCAAGGAUCAAUAAGUUCAGUAAGAGUGCAAACCCCACCUUUGAAUGAAAGGCUCAUGUUAAACUCAAUAGUUGUAUAAUGCCUAUUCAUUUCAGACAUGCAUCAGACAUGGCACAUGUUCUAUUCAUAUUGAUAACACAACUUCAUGGCAGUGUUCAAUAGUUGUAUGAGAAAAAUAUCUGUCAUACAGCAACACACUAUUUACGACUUGUGCAUAAUUAUUCAAGGGUCUAGUUGAAGACAAUCAGACUAUGGUUAACAAGAGAUCACAUGAUACUGUCUAUUGGUCUUUAUCAAAGAUUGAAUGACUGCUUAUGAAUGGAGAGAGAGUAAUUAAAUGCAUUUCUGCUUAUGAAUACAACUGUAGGUGGCCUACAAAACCAGUUUAGCAGACAUAUAGACAGCAAUGCCUGUGGUCAAUUGUAAUGGACUUAAAAGGAGGAUAGAAACCCAAGUUUUGUUUUGGUCCUUAAUAGUACAAGAUUGGCUGCAUAUAUUGGACCAUACUGACCAAGAAUUCGGUUACUGUCAUCCAAUGGGUGGUCUUACGAUUCCCUGCAAAGAAGAUGUCUUCUUACAUACAGCUUCUCACUUGAACAGCUUGUAACUACUAAUUCUUAAUGCAAAAAAGUCAUGAAUAGUCGUCAAAAAACAUAGAAUAGGGUAGGAUUGACUAGUUUAGACUUUAGACAUUUUUGUCCAUUUUGUUGUUUCCUCUUAAGUGGAAAUCUGAAAUAUUGUGAACCUUACGAAAUUAUAUUAUUUUGAAUUCGUCUCNNNNNNNNNNNNNNNNNNNNNNNNNNNNNNNNNNNNNNNNNNNNNNNNNNNNGACCAAUUUAAUGGAUGAUGUCUAUUACAUACUAGUAGAAAAAUCUUUGUUUUUAAUCUACAAAGAUUAGCAACUUGAAUAGUGCAUGGUAGAAUUUGGGAAGCAAAUCAGUAGAAGUGAAAUGAAAAUGAAUAAGGGAAUAUAGUAAUAAUUGGUCACUUAAUAAUAUACCAACAUCUAGUCAUCAAUUAAUCUGUGAGUUGCAUUUUUAUCGUGACGAUUGAAGAAUGUGGUGGAGGCCAAAAUCACAAGGACUUUCCAUGCUUUUCACAUGGAUUUUGGUCAAAUUGUUGUCAUAAAUUAGGUACACCGGCCAUUAGUUACCGGCAACCAUAUUCUCUGAUUUCCUCCUAACAGCCUCCACUAAUCAUAUACAAAAAUGCUAUUCGAGGUACCUUAAUUUCUCUGCCUAGGUGAAGAAGAUACAGGCCUGUAAAAAAAAAAUUGUGAGCUUAGAUACAAGAUAGCUUACCAACUAACCAAAUGAUUAGGUUUAUGUCGUUAUGAGCUUCAAUUAAUGUUGAAUUUCUCUAGAACUUCACUUCCAUCAUGAUCAAAUUUUGGGCUGCCAAAGAGUUUCUAUCUUUUGAUGCUUGACUAAAUGAAUGAUUUAUGAUGGAUGAAUUUAUUUUAUUUUAAAAUUUGAUAAAAUUAACCUCUUUUUUGGCCAUGCUAUUGCUAUACAAAAAUAAUAAACCAAGGAAACUAGAUAUUGCUUCAUGAUUUUAUUGUAAUUUAUAAAUAGAAUUAGAAGCAUAUAGGAGCACAUUGAGUUGUUGAAUAUAUGAUGUCAUUUGAUUAGAAAUAAACAAUAACAAAUAUAUGUUCCUGAAUUUUUCAUUCAAAUGGAAUUUAUAUCCCUUUCCAAAGGUAGGAAAAGGGAAAAAAUCUUUACAAAUCUAAAUGAUGACUAUUGUACAAAAUGUCUCUAUGUCAGUCUCUAUUUCUGUUGUGGAUUUAUAGUCCAUUCAAGCGAGAAGUGAUAUGCAAGAAAGCAUCUUCUGUGCAAGGAAUUGUGAGGCCACCCAUCGGAUGAUCGUAUCCAAAUUCUUCCUCUACUUGACUCAGCAAGUCUUGAAAUGACGGUUGGUUCAAGUAAGACAUAGGGAUCACAAACCGCUUCAUUUUUUCUCCAAUAUAGACUGCAAGAUAUCCUUUUGGGACAUUCACAGCUUUUGAAGAAGCACGUCUAAUGGCAGGUAAAAGGAAACCCAUUUCAAAUGUUUUGAAGAAUAGGUCGAGUUUUUCAGAUGUAAGAAAAAAGUAUCUAAGUUGUAAAGGAGGAAAGUGUAUUUAUAGUUUCAAGAGCUUCUUGAAAUUCAUUUGCUAGAGAAAUUAUUGGACUCAUGAGACAAGAGACCACAUGGUGCUGUCUUAGAAGAGUGAAAACCACGGGCGGCCACACAAAUAUAAAGAGCUAUGCUCAUUCCAACUCAGUAUUUUUCAAACAUGCAUCAGACAUGGCACAUGUUCUCUUCAUAUUGAUAACACAACUUAAUGCUGAUGAAUGGUCACCUCAAAUAUUAUGAGAAAUAUCAGUCAUACAUUACUAACACGCUAUUUAUAAAUUGUUGUUUCUCUAGACCAUGUUCAUGUAGGGCCUAGUUGGAGAAAAUGAAGGCUACGGUUCACAACAGCUUCCAAGUAGAUUUCAUGGUUUAUUGAUUAAAUUUCAAUCAAUAAUAGGCACAAGUUGUCCUAUCCUAUUGAAUCAAGGACAAAAUACUUGAUAAGUAUGUUNNNNNNNNNNNNNNNNNNNNNNNNNNNNNNNNNUCUUCAUUAAAAACCUCCAAGACAGUGCCAUGUGAUCAUUAAUGAGUCUUGUCUCCAACGAAACCCCAUUGGUUUCCAAAGUCUAUAUAUACACUCAUCAUUGGGUUUAUAAGCAACACAAAUCAUUCUUACCAGAAUUCAAGCUCAAUUUUUUUCUUCUAUUACUUCUUUGAGAUCAUUUGGUGUGUGUAGAAACAAAACAAUAAUGGGUUUUCGCUUACCUGGUAUUAGACGAUCAUCAUCUAGCAAACAAAUGGAAGUGCCAAAAGGCUAUCUUGCAGUGUAUGUUGGAGAGAAAAUGAAGAGGUUCUUGAUUCCAGUAUCAUUCUUGAAUGAGCCUUUAUUUCAAGAAUUGCUAAGCCAAUCUGAAGAGGAAUUCGGUUACAGUCAUCCAAUGGGUGGUCUUACAAUUCCCUGCAAUGAAGAUGUCUUCUUACAUACAGCUUCUCGCUUGAACAACUUGUAACUUGUUCAUACUGCAAAAUAGUCAAAUGAAUUAUAACAUAAGCAUAGCACAGUAGGAUAGACUAGUUGAGACAACUUUUGUACAUGAGGAAUUUCUUUCUCAAUUUUGCUGUUCCUUCUUAAGUGGGAAUUUGAAAUGAGAAUUUAUCAAACUCUAUUCUUCUGAAUUCAUCUGUUGUUUUUGUGUCAUCUAAAAUACUUUCAUUGCAGAAACACAAGCUAUGUACUAAUUUUACGGAUACUGUCUAUUACAUACUAGUAGGUACAUGGUAAUGCAAAAUUGAUGCAAAAUUGGUAUGUGUUACGAGUUCAUAGAACAAAACUCUAAACAAAUAAAUUUUUAAACCAAAACCUUUCUUAUCCUAUAAAGAUUUUCAACUUGAUUGGAACAUAUCACAUAAUAAAACUUCUUAUCAAUUAAUUAUUAAGUUGGAUUUUUCUGGUAAUAAGACGUCAAAGUUGAAGUCCUAAAACACAAAAUUAUCGUCAAGGCACCUUUUAAUACAUUGCCGCCUCAACUAUUCAUGAAAGUGUAUGUUAGCUGAGAGUCGAAACUAAGCCAAAAAAAGUUGUUAAAAGUCAUCUCAAUUCUGUAAAUCUAUAGAAACUCAUCCAAACUAGGCCGUACUGUCUUGCCUACUUAUGUAUGUUUAUCAAUUUUAAAUGGAGAGCUUUGACUUGUCUGAUACUUGGGCAGUAAGUCAUCAACUGUAUGAUAGUUUGGCUCUGAUACUUGAGCAAUAGUCCUCUUUAUAGUCAUGCCAAAGCAGUUGUUUUUAUACUUUCUUUAAAAGACUACAUUUAUCUAAAAUGGAAUAUACAGGAAUGUUGAAAUUAAGAAUUCAAUUUUCAGGAUACAUACAAUAUUUCUAUUACUUGUAGGUUCAAACAUGUACUGCUAUCUUCUGACUACUAACCAAUCCUUUGAUGAAGGUUCACUGUUGCCUCCUAACAUAAGUAUUUCAAACUCACUCCUUAAUUAAAUCAUAAUCACAUAACAUGAAGUGUACAGUAACUCAACAAAGGUGUCAACUCUACACUGUCGCUAGCUAUACAUUUUUGUCAAAAUAGCUGGACCCUUUGUUUUAUGUAUGUAUGAUUGUAUUGGCAUGGUUUGAGUGUGAGGGACAAAGUUUCUUAUUGGUUUUUAUCAUCCGAAACAUAACUCACUGAGAGGGAGUCUUUGCUUCUGCGAAGGAAGGUUGAGUGUGAGGGACUUAAUGCUUGAGUUAUGGAUAUCCAUAUUUUUUUAGACAUGCAUUAGACACGUCACAUGUUCUCUUCUCGAGAUAUAGCUCAAUCUCAAGAUAUAGAAACAAAAACUUCUCUUAGUGAUGAAUUUUAAGUCAAAUAAUAGCUACAAAUAUAAGAUAUACUGCCAUGAAUAAAAGACCAACUGAGAUGGCUGGACCCAGAGAGCUGGCAAUGGAAGACUUUUCAUAAUUGGGUCAAGAAGUGGUAAACCAGAACUCUAUUAUUUGAUUUGAUGGGUUUAGCUUCUGUUUUAGGCUCUAAUUAAUUGUGUGUCUAUAACAUUAAUACAUGCUUUGUGCAGACUCUAAAUCUGUUGGUAUAUAAGUUGGGGAAAUGAGAUGGAUGAGUCCAUGAAAUUUGGUUCCACAAUUGUAGCAGACAUUUACUAAAACAGCUAAAAGUAAAAAGUCUUCCUUAGAGUGAUUACACAUUUUUUUCCACAAUCCUAUAAUGAGUGCAAAUGGAGUAUAUCCUUUUUAUCAUUACACUUUUUCAUAGGUUGGGUUUGCGUAAGUUGAUGAUAUUUGGAGGAGCUUGUUAUUAUUUAUUAGGGUAAUUGCACUGCCUUGUUGAAGAAGCAAUUGAUAGAAGCACAAGGCAUGUAAAAAAUUGUGAGCUUAUAUACAAGAUAUAUAGCUUAUCAACUAUUAGAGUUUGGAUGAACGUUUUAUUAGGUCAGAGAAGUUUGCAGGAAUAUUCUAGCUCAAUUUUGUGCACAGCACAUACCCUACUAUCAUCAUUAUAAUAAACCAAGGAAAACUGGAUAUUGUAUAAUAAUUUAUUUCUCUUUUCCAAGGAAUCACUGGUUUUAUAAUUUAUAAAUAGAAUCAUAUAGGAGCAAAUUGAGUUGUUGAAAUAUAUUGUCAUUAUAAUUAGAAACAAAUAAUAACAUGAUUUGUUCCUGAAUUUGUCAUUCAGAUGGACAAUUCUAACCCAUUCCAAAGAUAGGAAAAGGCAAAAAAAAAACUUCACAAAUCUAAAUGAUGACUAUUGUACAAAAUUUUCCGGCUAAUCUAUGUUUCUCUGGUUACUGCUAAUCUAUGUUUCAGUGUAAGAUUUAGAGUCUAUUGAAGCCAGAAGUAAUAUGCAAGAAAAUUUCUUCUGUGCACGGAAUUGUGAGACCACCCAUUGAAUGAUCAUAUCCGGACUCUUCUUCUGCUUGACUCAGCAAGUUUUGAAAUGAAGGUUGGUUCAAGUAUGAGGUGGGGCCGUUUCAUUUCCUCUCCGACGUACACUGCAAGAUAGCCCUUUGGGACAUUGAAUACUUUUGAUGAGGUUUGGCUAUUGCUAAAUGAAGCCCGUCUAAUAGCUGCAGGUAAACGGAAACCCAUUUCAAAUGUUUUGAAGAACAAGCUGAAUUUCUCAGAUGUAAUGAAAAUGUAUCUAAGUUUGUUUUCU